RNAcentral lists this ribosomal RNA (808 nucleotides) under uncultured Bacteroidota bacterium. RNAcentral describes it as "bacterial SSU rRNA". It matches the Rfam family "Bacterial small subunit ribosomal RNA", at positions 66 to 850 of the family's 1533-position model. The record is from RNAcentral. Lineage: Bacteria; Pseudomonadati; Bacteroidota.
ACGUGAAAGCCCCCUUCGGGGGGCAAGUAGAGUGGCGCACGGGAGAGUAACACGUAGGUAAUCUACCUUCGGAUGGGGAACAACAACCGGAAACGGUUGCUAAUACCGCAUAAUGCAGCGGCACCUAAUGGUGACAGUUGUUAAAGCGGGGGAUCGAAAGACCUCGCGUCUGAAGAGGAGCCUGCGGCGGAUUAGCUAGUUGGUAAGGUAAUGGCUUACCAAGGCGACGAUCCGUAGCCGGCCUGAGAGGGCGGUCGGCCACACUGACACUGACAUACGGGUCAGACUCCUACGGGAGGCAGCAGUCGGGAAUUUUGGGCAAUGGGCGAAAGCCUGACCCAGCAACGCCGCGUGAAGGAUGAAAUCCCUCGGGAUGUAAACUUCGCAAGAACGGGAAGAAUAAGUCGGUGCUAACACCACCUGCGAUGACGGUACCGUUUGUAAGCUCCGGCUAACUCCGUGCCAGCAGCCGCGGUAAUACGGGGGGAGCAAGCGUUGUUCGGAUUUACUGGGCGUAAAGGGCGCGUAGGCGGCCACCGCAAGUCAAUUGUGAAAUCUCCGGGCUUAACUCGGAAAGGUCAACUGAUACUGCGGGGCUAGAGUGCAGAAGGGGCAACUGGAAUUCUCGGUGUAGCGGUGAAAUGCGUAGAUAUCGAGAGGAACACCUGCGGCGAAGGCGGGUUGCUGGGCUGACACUGACGCUGAGGCGCGAAAGCUAGGGGAGCGAACGGGAUUAGAUACCCCGGUAGUCCUAGCCUUAAACGAUGAAUGCUUGGUGUCUGGGGUUUUAAAGUCCCCGUGUGCCGUC